RNAcentral lists this ribosomal RNA (357 nucleotides) under Triticum aestivum (bread wheat). RNAcentral describes it as "partial small subunit ribosomal RNA". The record is from RNAcentral. Lineage: Eukaryota; Viridiplantae; Streptophyta; Magnoliopsida; Poales; Poaceae.
AUGGGAGACCUUAAUGAUAUUUUGUAUGAUACAGAUGGCUGCAAUGGUAGUGUAAAUUAUUUUCGUAUGUCUGCUUUUCGUUCUAUUGUCAAAAACGGUGGUUUCUUUGACAUCGGUUUUAGUGGUCCUGCUUACACUUGGCGCAAUAGACAGCACACUGUUAAUCCUAUUUACAGACGUUUGGAUCGUUGUCUUGUUAAUGCUGAUUGGUGUGCUCAUUACCCCAAUACUAAGGUGCUUAAUUUACCUAUCAUCGUUAGUGACCAUGCUCCCAUACUUAUUUCUACUGAUGGUAGUUUUGUUAAACCUAAGCAGACUUUCAAAUUUAAAAAUUGGUGGUUAAUGGAGAAGGAUUUC